UACGUAGGGCGCGAGCGUUAAUCGGAAUUACUGGGCGUAAAGCGCGCGUAGGCUGUUGUGUAAGUUGGGGGUGAAAUCCCACGGCUCAACCGUGGAACAGCCCUUGAUACUGCGCGACUUGAAUCCGGGAGAGGGUGGCGGAAUUCCAGGUGUAGGGGUGAAAUCCGUAGAUAUCUGGAGGAACAUCAGUGGCGAAGGCGGCCACCUGGACCGGUAUUGACGCUGAGGCGCGAAAGCGUGGGGAGCAAACAGG
RNAcentral lists this ribosomal RNA (253 nucleotides) under uncultured bacterium. RNAcentral's name for it is "partial 16S ribosomal RNA". It matches the Rfam family "Bacterial small subunit ribosomal RNA", at positions 524 to 776 of the family's 1533-position model. The record is from RNAcentral.